This 1379-nucleotide unclassified non-coding RNA is filed under the name Hevea brasiliensis (rubber tree). Lineage: Eukaryota; Viridiplantae; Streptophyta; Magnoliopsida; Malpighiales; Euphorbiaceae. The record is from RNAcentral.
GGCCACUUCAGUUAAAAGCUCAAAUGUUGUCUACCGUGGUACCCUCUUUCUACUCAGUAUUUCCUGCUCUUUUAGUCGAUGCUGGAAUCUGGAAAGACGAGCCUGGAGGCUGACCAGGCUUGCUGCUUUUCGCGACAACACAUAGCUCAAUUGUGUUACAUAAUUGUCGAUGAGACUUCCAGGCUGAUCAACUUCUGCCAACAGUUUCAUUUCUUCACGAACAAUCUCCAUCGUAUCUUCAAUUUCUUUCCUGUGUGCAGCCAUCAGGGCCUCUUCUUCCUGCAGUAAUUCAUUGAUAUUAUCAUCAUGAGGGGGUGAAGAAGGUUCAUUUUGUCCCGAUCCAACACUUUUUAUACUUGCAUUUUGCUGUUUAUAACUCAUAGAGGAUGACUCAGAGCUCGACGCAUCUUUUCUUGACCAUUUUCCUGGCUUUUCAGGUUUCUCAUCACGAGAAACUUUCCUCCGCGGUGGAGAUACUUUCUGCACCUUGUCUUCUGUAUCAGUUGAACUCUGCAAAUUCGAUGUAGACUGCAUUCUUUGACCAGCUGGAACACCAUAGUUAUUCUUCGCCUCAAGCCUGUCCCUAUCCAUACCACCAAAAUUUGUCCCUCCAUCAUCCUGACUGUUGAAAGUUUGAUUUGAAGAAAAUCUAGAGGGUUGUUUAUCAAAAACAUUAGCCGAAUUGUAUGAUGUUGUUUCUUUCUCCACAACUCUUCUAUUUGCUUCUGAUACUCUAGAUUCUUGAGGUUGCUCAUAAGCGUCUUCCGCCUCAGCAGAGGCAGCCAAAGUAGUCGGUAGAGAAGGUUCCUUGAAUGUUGGAGUUGUUACACUUGCACUCUGAUUUUUGUUGGUGUUUCCACCUUUGGAUAGACUUUUAACCCUGUCUGCAUAUCUUAAUGUGUUGAGUGUAUGUUCACAUGAUCCAGCAUUAGGAGAAAUGCAGGAAAUCAUAACUGUCUUUGAGUUGCCAACAAAGGAGUCACGCAACACUUCAGUGAGUUUGCUCCCACGGAACGGGAUAUGAAGCUGAUCAUUGUCAAGAGCACGAAUGCACUCUUUAAGAGCUAACAAGCUCUUGUUAAUUUCUGCUCCCUCAAUUCUUGUUUGCCUGUCAUUAUCAGUAGUGUCUGCACCUCUCUCGCUACCUGCAAGGUCAAUAAAGGAAAUCUUUCCGAUGACUUUCCCUCCUUUGGAUUCAUUUCCGUCAUUAUUUCUUCUAGUGUCCUUCACUUCAUUGUGUUUCUUGACGACAAGUUGUAAUAUCGCGUGAGAUCUUGAUGAUUCCUCAUUUGCACCAGUGGAGCCUGUACUUCUUGAAGCGUUUCCUCUCUCAAUAAACUCUUUCACAAUCUGUACAUCUGAAACUUCAAAUUCCUGGA